UGCUUCUCUGAUAGUUAGCGGCGGACGGGUGAGUAACACGUAGGCAACCUGCCCUCAAGCUUGGGACAACUACCGGAAACGGUAGCUAAUACCGAAUAGUUGUUUUCUUCUCCUGAAGAGAACUGGAAAGACGGAGCAAUCUGUCACUUGGGGAUGGGCCUGCGGCGCAUUAGCUAGUUGGUGGGGUAACGGCUCACCAAGGCGACGAUGCGUAGCCGACCUGAGAGGGUGAUCGGCCACACUGGGACUGAGACACGGCCCAGACUCCUACGGGAGGCAGCAGUAGGGAAUCUUCCGCAAUGGGCGAAAGCCUGACGGAGCAAUGCCGCGUGAGUGAUGAAGGUUUUCGGAUCGUAAAGCUCUGUUGCCAGGGAAGAACGCUUGGGAGAGUAACUGCUCUCAAGGUGACGGUACCUGAGAAGAAAGCCCCGGCUAACUACGUGCCAGCAGCCGCGGUAAUACGUAGGGGGCAAGCGUUGUCCGGAAUUAUUGGGCGUAAAGCGCGCGCAGGCGGUCAUUUAAGUCUGGUGUUUAAUCCCGGGGCUCAACCCCGGAUCGCACUGGAAACUGGGUGACUUGAGUGCAGAA
RNAcentral lists this ribosomal RNA (588 nucleotides) under uncultured bacterium. Its description in RNAcentral is "bacterial SSU rRNA". It matches the Rfam family "Bacterial small subunit ribosomal RNA", at positions 78 to 653 of the family's 1533-position model. The record is from RNAcentral.